Long non-coding RNA from Haliotis rubra (blacklip abalone), 126 nucleotides. RefSeq lists it as uncharacterized. The transcript is spliced from 3 exons. The record is from RefSeq and is a predicted model, not a curated record. NCBI's taxonomy places the organism in Eukaryota, Metazoa, Mollusca, Gastropoda, Lepetellida, Haliotidae.
UUCUACCCAAAUUCCAGAUAGAGCAACUGUUACUUAUGUCCCUGUUCUUACCUAUGUGGAAGAGAGUGGAUCAACACCCCUUGACAUUUGUAGAAUUUGGGGAAAUAUUUCUCAGAUUUAGCUCAA